UUACGGCUAUAUCACGUUGAAACACUAGUUUCCGUAUGAUUACCGAAGUUAAGCAAUGUCGAGCCUGGUUAGUAACUAGAUGGGUAACGCUUGAGAAUACCAAGUGCUGU
This is a non-coding RNA of Acanthosepion pharaonis, 110 nucleotides long. NCBI's taxonomy places the organism in Eukaryota, Metazoa, Mollusca, Cephalopoda, Sepiida, Sepiidae. The record is from the annotation of a GenBank genome assembly.